UUGUCUGGCUUCUCUUGAAUUCAUUGUGUCUGUGAGCCUCUGUGGUUUGUGGGCAGUAUCAAGAAUGUGAAGCAAAAUGAAAUGUUCCUCUCGCUAUCCAGCGCGGAAUUCUUUUGAUGCGAUUGGACGUCGAGGAACUACACUU
RNAcentral lists this small nucleolar RNA (145 nucleotides) under Sorghum bicolor (sorghum). RNAcentral describes it as "Small nucleolar RNA snoR136". It matches the Rfam family "Small nucleolar RNA snoR136". The record is from Rfam by way of RNAcentral. Lineage: Eukaryota; Viridiplantae; Streptophyta; Magnoliopsida; Poales; Poaceae.